GAGAAUGCAUCAUAUACUAGUGCGCAGUGCACUUAGUGAUAUUCUCUGGAUUCCUUUUCCCGAACGAAUUGGAUGUUUGCCUGUGCCCGGACAAAGGGUCUUUUGGGGUGCUAUUCAAGGGAAAAACACGAGCUCCUCUGAAUCCCAUGAACCUAUUGCAGAUUUUAUUGGAUUUCUUCCCUCCAGACAUUCCCUUCAUUUCAUGCAUAUAAUUAUUGUAGGGCUUUGAUGAUGAUAUGAACUAGAGGGCAUUGCGACAAUACAAGGUGCCUGUGCUUGGUUUAGCCGUCUCCCUGUACAAGUAAUUAUUGCUGACCUGUACCACUAAAUUUUGAUCUAAAAAAUUUGCCUGUGGCAUUUAUUUUUUAUUGAACUGACG
This 379-nucleotide long non-coding RNA is filed under the name Coffea arabica (coffee). RNAcentral's name for it is "long non-coding RNA (CARA_LNC004042)". Lineage: Eukaryota; Viridiplantae; Streptophyta; Magnoliopsida; Gentianales; Rubiaceae. The record is from RNAcentral.